GCCGGGUGUGGUGGCACAUGCCUGUAAUCCCAGCUACUUGGGAGGCUGAGACAGGAGAAUCGCUUGAACCUGGGAGGUGGAGGUGGCAGUGAGUCAAGAUCAUGCCAUUGCACUCCAGCCUAGGUGACAGAGUGAGACUCUGUCUCAA
Molecule: non-coding RNA, 148 nt
Organism: Gorilla gorilla gorilla (western lowland gorilla)
Lineage: Eukaryota; Metazoa; Chordata; Mammalia; Primates; Hominidae
Rfam family: Metazoan signal recognition particle RNA
About the family: The signal recognition particle (SRP) is a universally conserved ribonucleoprotein.
Source: Rfam